UAGGGAAACUCGCCUGAGUGGGGAGGGGGAAUAACUACGUAGGGAAAACGGUAGACUAACUACCGCAUAACGUCGCAAGACCAAAGAGGGGGACCCUCGGGCCUCUUGCCAUCGGAUGUGCCCAGAUGGGAUUAGCUUGUUGGUGGGGUAACGGCUCACCAAGGCGACGAUCCCUAGCUGGUCUGAGAGGAUGACCAGCCACACUGGAACUGAGACACGGUCCAGACUCCUACGGGAGGCAGCAUG
Molecule: ribosomal RNA, 246 nt
Filed under: uncultured bacterium
Lineage: Bacteria
Description: partial 16S ribosomal RNA
Rfam family: Bacterial small subunit ribosomal RNA
Source: RNAcentral